RNAcentral lists this small nuclear RNA (22 nucleotides) under Arabidopsis thaliana (thale cress). RNAcentral describes it as "snRNA_11580". Lineage: Eukaryota; Viridiplantae; Streptophyta; Magnoliopsida; Brassicales; Brassicaceae. The record is from RNAcentral.
GUCCGUAAGUCUUGCGGUGUUC